GACGAACGCUGGCGGCGUGCUUAACACAUGCAAGUCGAGCGGUAAGGCCCUUUCGGGGGUACACGAGCGGCGAACGGGUGAGUAACACGUGGGUGACCUGCCCUCAGCUCUGGGAUAAGCCUGGGAAACCGGGUCUAAUACCGGAUAUGACUCCAUGACGCAUGUUGUGGGGUGGAAAGCCUUGUGCGGCUGAGGAUGGGCCCGCGGCCUAUCAGCUUGUGGUGGGUGAUGGCCUACCAAGGCGACGACGGGUAGCCGGCCUGAGAGGGCGACCGGCCACACUGGGACUGAGACACGG
Molecule: ribosomal RNA, 298 nt
Filed under: uncultured bacterium
Lineage: Bacteria
Description: partial 16S ribosomal RNA
Rfam family: Bacterial small subunit ribosomal RNA
Source: RNAcentral